UACGUAGGGUGCAAGCGUUAAUCGGAAUUACUGGGCGUAAAGCGUGCGCAGGCGGUUUUGUAAGUCUGACGUGAAAGCCCCGGGCUCAACCUGGGAAUUGCGUUGGAGACUGCAAGGCUUGAAUCUGGCAGAGGGGGGUAGAAUUCCACGUGUAGCAGUGAAAUGCGUAGAGAUGUGGAGGAACACCGAUGGCGAAGGCAGCCCCCUGGGUCAAGAUUGACGCUCAUGCACGAAAGCGUGAGGAGCAAACAGG
RNAcentral lists this ribosomal RNA (253 nucleotides) under uncultured bacterium. RNAcentral describes it as "partial 16S ribosomal RNA". It matches the Rfam family "Bacterial small subunit ribosomal RNA", at positions 524 to 776 of the family's 1533-position model. The record is from RNAcentral.